Molecule: ribosomal RNA, 440 nt
Filed under: uncultured bacterium
Lineage: Bacteria
Description: partial 16S ribosomal RNA
Rfam family: Bacterial small subunit ribosomal RNA
Source: RNAcentral
CCUACGGGAGGCAGCAGUGGGGAAUAUUGCACAAUGGGGGGAACCCUGAUGCAGCGACGCCGCGUGGGUGAAGGAGUACUUCGGUACGUAAAGCCCUAUCAGCAGGAAGGAAAAUGACGGUACCUGACUAAGAAGCCCCGGCUAACUCCGUGCCAGCAGCCACGGUAAUACGUAGGGGGCAAGCGUUCUCCGGAUUUACUGGGUGUAAAGGGCACGUAGACGGCAGGGCAGGUCCGGAGUGAAAGCCGGGGGCUCAACCCGGGGACGGCUUGGGAAACUGGAAGGCUGGAGUGCGGGAGGGGCGGGCGGAAUUCCGGGUGUAGCAGUGAAAUGCGUAGAGAUCAGGAGGAACACCGGCGGCGAAGGCGGCCUGCUGGACCGUAACUGACGUUGAGGCUCGAAAGCGUGGGGAGCAAACAGGAUUAGAUACCCGAGUAGUC